CCCUUAGAUGUUCUGGGCCGCACGCGUGCUACACUGAGUGGAUCAGCGGGUCAGGUUGCGCGAAAGUGUUUCCUAAUCUUUAAAUCCGCUCGUGAUGGGGAUUGACGGUUGCAAUUUUCCGUCAUGAACGAGGAAUACCUUGUAAGCGCGGGUCAUCAUCCCGCGCUGAAUACGUCCCUGCCCUUUGUACACACCGCCCGUCGCUCCUACCGAUUGAGUGGUCCGGUGAGGCUUUGGGAUCUGAGCGGAAAGAGCGUUUCGCUGUUUCUGCCCGGAAAACUCAGUCGAACCUUAUCAUUUAGAGGAGGGAGAAGUCGUAACA
This 322-nucleotide ribosomal RNA is filed under the name uncultured eukaryote. RNAcentral describes it as "partial 18S ribosomal RNA". It matches the Rfam family "Eukaryotic small subunit ribosomal RNA", at positions 1470 to 1796 of the family's 1831-position model. The record is from RNAcentral.